CGCUAGCUACAGGCUUAACACAUGCAAGUCGAGGGGCAGCAUGGUCUUAGCUUGCUAAGACUGAUGGCGACCGGCGCACGGGUGAGUAACACGUAUCCAACCUGCCGUCUACUCUUGGACAGCCUUCUGAAAGGAAGAUUAAUACAAGAUGGCAUCAUGAGUCCGCAUGUUCACAUGAUUAAAGGUAUUCCGGUAGACGAUGGGGAUGCGUUCCAUUAGAUAGUAGGCGGGGUAACGGCCCACCUAGUCUUCGAUGGAUAGGGGUUCUGAGAGGAAGGUCCCCCACAUUGGAACUGAGACACGGUCCAAACUCCUACGGGAGGCAGCAGUGAGGAAUAUUGGUCAAUGGGCGAGAGCCUGAACCAGCCAAGUAGCGUGAAGGAUGACUGCCCUAUGGGUUGUAAACUUCUUUUAUAAAGGAAUAAAGUCGGGUAUGGAUACCCGUUUGCAUGUACUUUAUGAAUAAGGAUCGGCUAACUCCGUGCCAGCAGCCGCGGUAAUACGGAGGAUCCGAGCGUUAUCCGGAUUUAUUGGGUUUAAAGGGAGCGUAGAUGGAUGUUUAAGUCAGUUGUGAAAGUUUGCGGCUCAACCGUAAAAUUGCAGUUGAUACUGGAUAUCUUGAGUGCAGUUGAGGCAGGCGGAAUUCGUGGUGUAGCGGUGAAAUGCUUAGAUAUCACGAAGAACUCCGAUUGCGAAGGCAGCCUGCUAAGCUGCAACUGACAUUGAGGCUCGAAAGUGUGGGUAUCAAACAGGAUUAGAUAUCCUGGUAGUCCACACGGUAAAACGAUGAAUACUCGCUGUUUGCGAUAUACUGCAAGCGGCCAAGCGAAAGCGUUAAGUAUUCCACCUGGGGAGUACGCCGGCAACGGUGAAACUCAAAGGAAUUGACGGGGGCCCGCACAAGCGGAGGAACAUGUGGUUUAAUUCGAUGAUACGCGAGGAACCUUACCCGGGCUUAAAUUGCAGAUGAAUUACGGUGAAAGCCGUAAGCCGCAAGGCAUCUGUGAAGGUGCUGCAUGGUUGUCGUCAGCUCGUGCCGUGAGGUGUCGGCUUAAGUGCCAUAACGAGCGCAACCCUUGUUGUCAGUUACUAACAGGUUCCGCUGAGGACUCUGACAAGACUGCCAUCGUAAGAUGUGAGGAAGGUGGGGAUGACGUCAAAUCAGCACGGCCCUUACGUCCGGGGCUACACACGUGUUACAAUGGGGGGUACAGAGGGCCGCUACCACGCGAGUGGAUGCCAAUCCCAAAAACCUCUCUCAGUUCGGACUGGAGUCUGCAACCCGACUCCACGAAGCUGGAUUCGCUAGUAAUCGCGCAUCAGCCACGGCGCGGUGAAUACGUUCCCGGGCCUUGUACACACCGCCCGUCAAGCCAUGGGAGCCGGGGGUACCUGAAGUGCGUAACCACGAGGAGCGCCCUAGGGUAAAACUGGUGAC
This 1438-nucleotide ribosomal RNA is filed under the name uncultured organism. RNAcentral's name for it is "SSU rRNA". It matches the Rfam family "Bacterial small subunit ribosomal RNA". The record is from RNAcentral.